Non-coding RNA from Stygiomarasmius scandens, 102 nucleotides. The record is from the annotation of a GenBank genome assembly. NCBI's taxonomy places the organism in Eukaryota, Fungi, Basidiomycota, Agaricomycetes, Agaricales, Campanellaceae.
GGCGCUAUAGCCAAGUGGUUACGGCGACAGAUUAGAAUCCCUGUAUUCUUUAUAAGGAUCUGUUCCUCUUUGAGGGCGCAGGUUCGAAUCCUGCUGGCGUCG